RNAcentral lists this ribosomal RNA (423 nucleotides) under uncultured bacterium. RNAcentral describes it as "bacterial SSU rRNA". It matches the Rfam family "Bacterial small subunit ribosomal RNA", at positions 207 to 622 of the family's 1533-position model. The record is from RNAcentral.
AAGACCUUGCGCUUUUGGAGCGGCCGAUGCCUGAUUAGCUUGUUGGUAAGGUAAAAGCUUACCAAGGCUUCGAUCAGUAGCUGGUCUGAGAGGACGGCCAGCCACACUGGGACUGAGACACGGCCCAGACUCCUACGGGAGGCAACAGUGGGGAAUUUUGGACAAUGGGGGCAACCCUGAUCCAGCCAUGCCGCGUGAGUGAAGAAGGCCUUCGGGUUGUAAAGCUCUUUCAGCCGGAACGAAACGGUUACGGUUAAUACCCGUGAUUACUGACGGUACCGGAAGAAGAAGCACCGGCUAACUACGUGCCAGCAGCCGCGGUAAUACGUAGGGUGCGAGCGUUAAUCGGAAUUACUGGGCGUAAAGCGUGCGCAGGUGGUUUUGUAAGUCAGAUGUGAAAGCCCCGGGCUCAACCUGGGAACU